UACAGGGGGGGCAAGCGUUGUUCGGAAUUACUGGGCGUAAAGGGUUCGUAGGUGGCUUGCUAAGUCAGACGUGAAAUCCCUCAGCUUAACUGGGGAACUGCGUCUGAGACUGGCGAGCUUGAGUGCAGGAGAGGAACGCGGAAUUCCAGGUGUAGCGGUGAAAUGCGUAGAUAUCUGGAGGAACACCGGUGGCGAAGGCGGCGUUCUGGACUGCAACUGACACUGAGGAACGAAAGCCAGGGGAGCAAACGGG
Molecule: ribosomal RNA, 253 nt
Filed under: uncultured bacterium
Lineage: Bacteria
Description: partial 16S ribosomal RNA
Rfam family: Bacterial small subunit ribosomal RNA
Source: RNAcentral